GCACCUCUGGGAGUGAAGCAGGGGAGGCGUCAUUGUCCUCGUUUAACUCUCGGUGAAGAAAAGUGUGUUAAUUCCGAGAGCUUCUGUGGGAAUGGGGCCUUCCUCUGUGGUCGGGGAGACUGUGGCACAGCCGGGAGGAGGAGUCGGGAUACCUGGUUCUGGUCUUUGUGGGGUCUCAGUCUGCAUGUGUGACUCUGCGUUAGUCACCUGUGAGACGGAAGGAUGGGACAGAGUCCUUGGGUGUGUGCAGACCACCCAUGUGAGGAGACGGGACGAAUGGUUGGGUAACAAUCAUUUUGUCACAUGAAUAAUUGCAUCUAGAGGUUCCUGAACUCUAGAUUCCUUAGAAGCCAGGUAACAGGGCCACAGGGACACACUCAUGCCCAAGGCUCCAUGGGACUAAGGGACUGAUGGCCAAAUAAACCCCUCAGGGGAAGCAGGGUGCACAGAGGCAGGCCAGUGGAAAGCAGAACUCUGAAGUUAGGGGUCAGGAGAGGCCACUGCCGUGCCUUUGGAGGCCUAGGACGAGAAAAGUGGCAUGUGUAAGGGCUCUGGGGACAGCCAGAUACUGAGGUGGCCAGAUACUGAGAAAGGGGCUCAAAUGUGAAGAAGCAUGAAGAGACCACUGAGGAGGGCCAGCUGCAAGCCCUGUUGAGGGGCAGGGCAAUGGAGGAGGAAGAGGAAGGAUUUGGAGAGAUGGGGACACUGAACUAGGUGCUGUCUCCCAGGCCUUCAAACCCUGUGGCUCCAGAGUGAGUGGGUGCAGGUGAAAACGGGGGUGUCGCAGAUCCUGAUGGCGGAAUGUUCCAGAUUAUCAAGCUCUUGUAUUCCUGGAGUGGAGGGAACACAGUGUGGCUGCUGCUAAAUUUGGUGUGUUUGGGAACAAAAUCAAGACAACAGAGAUACAAGGGAUGCAAGCUUGGUGCCAUCUGCCUGAAGAACCCCCGUAGGGCAAGGGGCCGGAGGACCACCCCUCCCUGUCCUCCUGCGCGGAGCUUCCUGAACAAGACUCCUGGGCACCAGGACCCUCUGCAAAAGGUCUUGGGCAUCUGUGGUGAGAACGAUGGCCAGAAAGGCCUCGGACCACCCAGAGCCAGGUACCACCAGAGGCAGCUCAGAGGGGAGGGCGAUGAGGCCCAUCGUGGGGUAAAGGAAGGCAAAGGGAGUUAUGAGAUGAGCAGGUGACAGGUCAAAGAGGGGCGCAUGGCGCCCAGAGGUGGAAACCUCACGUGCUGAAGUGAUGGGACCUGGGAAUGUUUGGGGGAGGGAGGGGCCACUGUGGCUCCAGCUUAGCUGCUCCAGAGCUGCAUCUGGAGCCCCUGACUCAGAUCCGUGGGCCCCUGAAACCUCCGUUCCACCUGCCACCCCCACAUCUUGCCUCAUACCCCAGGCCCAUGGCCAGCCCUCCCUCCCAGCCCCUCUGCUCCCUUCCUCCCAUUCUACCCCUCUCUGUGACUUGCUCCCUGCCUCCAGGAACCCACAGCCCAGCAGGGAAGACGAAUGUGGAGACCCCAGGUGAGCUGAAGUGCAGAGAUGGCUAGGAAUGCACCAGGUGAGGAGGGGAGAGAUUUCCCAGUAGCGGGACUAGGUGCUGGGGCCAGGGCAAACCUGGGGCUGUUCACACAUUGGGGGCCGUUGCUGGGCGGGGCUAAAGGAUAUUGUGCUGUUAUUUAAAAGAGGAGGUGGAGCCUGGGAGGGAGGGGCCUUAAGAGGGAAGAGAGAGUCAGAGAGCCUCUUCCACACACCCUGCUGGGGUGGGCCUCCUGGGGGGGGAUUCUCAUCUGUGAGGGGGACGCCAAGCUGACAUGGAACAGGCCCCAGGUCACAUGCAGAGCAAAGGCUGCCUCCAUCAGAGGGGACAGGGUGGGGUGGGAAACAAGGUCUCAUGGCGGGUGGAACCUGUCUUUGGACUUUCCCACCCUUCUCCUGUGAGCGAGGUUUGGGCUCUGCAGCUGGGUCUGGAGUCCCCUGGAGGUUUCCAAGCGAGGCCUGUUGACCUGGACGGAGGCCCUGAUCUGUGCCGCCACCUGAUCCCUGCCACCCUCCCGCCAGACUCACGGCCCCUGGAUGCCCAUCCUGCCUGGACAGGGCCCUACUGCCAGGCCCAUCCUGUUGCCACCCGAGCCGCAGGAGACGGUCACACGUGUGUUUAUGUCCUGCCCCCGACGGCCCCCCACUCCUCGCAGGCCCUGCCAGCUUCCAGAACAUUUAUCAGGCCUCUGUAUGUUUUUCUUGUGUGGGAUUUAAAAUGAUUUCUUUAAACAAGGUCUAAACUGGGAUUGAUUUCCUCUCUUUAUUUUGAGUGGUUUGUUUUGUAAUAUGGUUCUUUUAACGGUCUAAAUUGUGGGAACUUGGGAGGAAAAAAAAGGGAAUUUUCUGACUUCAUAUAAAUACAAAUUACUUUAUCUGCCUUUGAAGACUUCCAUGUCUUUUCCUUGAAAAGGCUGGAGAGGAAUUCUUUGGGGUCCCUUUCAGAACUGCCAUGAUGAGAGGGAUACGCUCGCCCGGAGACUUCCACUCCAGGCUGAGAAUGAAAAACAACCCGGGCUCUUCCACAGAGCCUCCUGCUUUUCUUUCAAAGCACAUUCAUCUCCAUUCAUCUGAUCUUCACCACAUAAAAUUCCUUUAAUUUGAUCUUCACAACAGCAUGAGAGCUGAGGAAGAACAACACCCUCCCAGCGGAGCGCGUCGGAGGGGGCUUGCCAGUCAGGUGUGGGCCUGGCCUGCGAGUCACCCUGUCACUGCUGGUGAGGCUCCAUCAUCUGUGAAUCAAUUCAAUAAACACUUCCAAGCA
Ictidomys tridecemlineatus (thirteen-lined ground squirrel) is the source of this 2794-nucleotide non-coding RNA. NCBI's taxonomy places the organism in Eukaryota, Metazoa, Chordata, Mammalia, Rodentia, Sciuridae. The record is from RefSeq and is a predicted model, not a curated record.